This 88-nucleotide microRNA precursor is filed under the name Canis lupus familiaris (dog). RNAcentral's name for it is "mir-8799 microRNA precursor family". It matches the Rfam family "mir-8799 microRNA precursor family". Lineage: Eukaryota; Metazoa; Chordata; Mammalia; Carnivora; Canidae. The record is from Rfam by way of RNAcentral.
AGGGUAGCUGGAUCUUGGGCUGUGUCCUGGCGCCCUGUGCUCCGGGGCCUGUGCUUUUGGAUUCGUGCUCCGGGCUGUGCAGCCGCCU